UGUACAACAGCAUCAGUGAGUUUAUGUGUUUACUAAUGCGGAUGAGUAUUAGUAAGUAAUUUGGAAACCGCAAUACCAACUUCUAGACAAAAGCGGAAGUUACUCACUAUGCUGGUGCACAGAGUCUAUUCUGGCCAAGUACCAAAGAACGUAUUUGUUAAGAACGGACUGGCUAUCGGACCUCGAAAUCCACUCAUCAGUACCGUAUUCCUUCAAAAUUGCACGCAUAUUUUCUCAAAGAAGUUACAAGUGGAUUUCAAUGAAAUGCAAACAUGACAAAUUUUUUCCGAACCAUCAUGACAGAUUGUAUUACAUUACAAUUUUAGUACAAACAUUCACCCGCCAAUGUAGCCUUCUGCAUUUUGUCCCCCCACUUUUAAUCAACACAACUCUUAUAAGAAAAACUCAGUCUAGAACGUUGCAGUGGCAGUACGGUAAGCAAUUGCGUAAUACGAAUCAGACUGGCUUUAGGACCACACGCAGGCACUUUGCUUUGAGGUAGUUGCUGGUCUGGUUAUGGUAGUAGAGUAGAGGCUACCGUUGCUACUAGCAACUGAGAUCUCUGUCUCAUGAAAGUUUGGUAACCUUGCAGACAUUACCUCUAGCUAAUUACCUCCCGUAACGUAUGAAUGAGGUAGAGUAUUUUUCUAAAACCAGUAAGGUGUAGCUAAGCUAACGUUAUAUAUGAAUGAUAUUAAUAGUUGCAAAAUAUAUAUUAGCUUGCCAGCUAACGUUAUUUCGCCAGCUAGCAAACAGUCCAACUCACUCACGGCUAGCACCGUAUGACACCACCCUAGAAAAGACUGAAGUUAGACAAACGGACGUUUUUUUAUGCAAAGACAAAGAUCAGAUGGUGACCGUGAGAAUGCCAGGGAGAAAAGGUCCACCGUGGAGCUGAGGUGAAAUAUUGUCUUUAAAGGAUCAGCUUUCCAUGCGUAUAUACCGACUCACAAUUUGGACAUGUAGGACAGCUUGUAGCCUGACCUGGCGUCACCAUCAAACCUACGCCCCUGGAUUAACUGCAUGAGCUUGGAGCCUAUGCCUCUUGUGUGUGCCUCCCAGCCACCAAAGGAAGAACUACUCGAUGAUGCCCAAUCCUCCUCUUGGGUCAAAACUGAUGGGCCAAGAACACAAGAGUUAUCCACAGGCAGAGCAUUUGUACAAGGAAACAUUCGGUGAUGUCACGGAAUAAGCCUAAUGUUAAACCAUUUCUGUAUUUACUUCCUACCAUUUAAACUACAGAAACUCAUGCCAUUAAUCAAUCCAAGACAUCCUGUUUCUAAGACAAUCCUUGUGCUUAACAAGAUUGAAGUUGUGUCUACAAACUGCUGAACUACAGGUACCAACCUCUGGCAAAUGCCGUCUCCUCCACUCCAUUGUCAUCAUCUUCUGAGCCUGAUGAGGAGGGUACGUCGUCUUCUCUUAGUGGGGGGAUGACUCCAUCGGCCUCCACCACAGCACUCUUCAGUAGUGCAGAGUCGAACUUCACCGUGUAAAACUCACUGUCAAUGUCUAGAUAGACACUUUCUGGUUAGUAGAACACGUAUCAAAUUAAAAGCUUUAACCUGU
Molecule: long non-coding RNA, 1569 nt
Organism: Esox lucius (northern pike)
Lineage: Eukaryota; Metazoa; Chordata; Actinopteri; Esociformes; Esocidae
Exons: 4
Source: RefSeq, a predicted model, not a curated record